UUGGUUAAGUUAGAAAGGGCGCACGGUGGAUGCCUUGGCACUAGGAGCCGAAGAAGGACGGGACUAACACCGAUAUGCUUUGGGGAGCUGUACGUAAGCGUUGAUCCAGAGAUUUCCGAAUGGGGGAACCCACUAUCUUUAGUCGGAUAGUAUCCUUACGUGAAUACAUAGCGUGAGGAAGGCAGACCCAGGGAACUGAAACAUCUAAGUACCUGGAGGAAGAGAAAGAAAAAUCGAUUUCCUGAGUAGCGGCGAGCGAAACGGAAAGAGCCCAAACCAAGAAGCUUGCUUCUUGGGGUUGUAGGACACUCUAUACGGAGUUACAAAAGAAAGUUAUAAAUGAAGCGGUCUGGAAAGGCCCGCCAAAGACGGUAACAGCCCGGUAGUUGAAAUGGCUUUCCCUCCAGAGUGGAUCCUGAGUACGGCGGAACACGUGAAAUUCCGUCGGAAUCCGGGAGGACCAUCUCCCAAGGCUAAAUACUCCCUAGUGACCGAUAGUGAACCAGUACCGUGAGGGAAAGGUGAAAAGCACCCCGGAAGGGGAGUGAAACAGUUCCUGAAACCGUGUGCCUACAAGUAGUUAGAGCCCGUUAAUGGGUGAUAGCGUGCCUUUUGUAGAAUGAACCGGCGAGUUACGAUUUGUUGCAAGGUUAAGCGGAAAAAGCGGAGCCGUAGCGAAAGCGAGUCUGAAUAGGGCGCAUAAGUAACAGGUCGUAGACCCGAAACCAGGUGAUCUACCCAUGUCCAGGAUGAAGGUAAGGUAAUACUUACUGGAGGUCCGAACCCACGCACGUUGAAAAGUGCGGGGAUGAGGUGUGGGUAGCGGAGAAAUUCCAAUCGAACUUGGAGAUAGCUGGUUCUCUCCGAAAUAGCUUUAGGGCUAGCCUCGAGGUAAAGAGUCAUGGAGGUAGAGCACUGUUUGGACUAGGGGCCCUUCUCGGGUUACCGAAUUCAGAUAAACUCCGAAUGCCAUGUACUUAUACUCGGGAGUCAGACUGCGAGUGAUAAGAUCCGUAGUCGAAAGGGAAACAGCCCAGACCACCAGUUAAGGUCCCCAAAUAUAUGUUAAGUGGAAAAGGAUGUGGGGUUGCUUAGACAACCAGGAUGUUGGCUUAGAAGCAGCCACCAUUGAAAGAGUGCGUAAUAGCUCACUGGUCGAGUGACCCCGCGCCGAAAAUGUACCGGGGCUAAACAUAUUACCGAAACUGUG
RNAcentral lists this ribosomal RNA (1210 nucleotides) under Listeria monocytogenes. Its description in RNAcentral is "partial 23S ribosomal RNA". It matches the Rfam family "Bacterial large subunit ribosomal RNA", at positions 1 to 1204 of the family's 2925-position model. The record is from RNAcentral. RNAcentral also lists the same sequence under 1 other name. Lineage: Bacteria; Bacillati; Bacillota; Bacilli; Caryophanales; Listeriaceae.